GCGGAGGACAGAGUUCCAUCUCUUCGUUUCUUGCUUCUUCCUCUUCCUCUGUUGCUAGAGAGCAGGUGAGCUGCUCUUGCAAACAGUGGCCCAUGUCAAAUCACACCCACUCCUCUUCGAUUUUUUGUCACAAAAUGUCUAGGGUUACAAAAUUAACUAUCCUCUCUCUCUCUCUCUCAAUACUUCUGCCGUCCCUCUCUUUCUUCUCUUCCUCUCAGUAGCUUCUCUCUUUUCCAGUUCUUCCUCUCUUUUUUUUUUUCUCAAAAAAAAAAUACUCACGCUUCCAUUUGCUUUGGUUGGAAGAAAGUGUUCUUUCGAUGGGUGAUAAUACAGAAGAAGGAAAGGGUCUAAGAGAGAGCAGACAGUGUCAACGAAUGAAAGGAAGAUAAACCUGGUUCUUUUAUUUUUGGAAGGAAAAUUGACGGGAAGGAGGAAAAAAGAUUAAACUUUUCAAGAUCUGCAUUAGCUGCAUCAACAGUAUCCAUGUGGACCGUUGCUUAAAAUGAGGAGAAUUUUGGGUUUUUCAGCUGCUGCUAGAGUAAAACAUUAGAUAUAUGCCCUUGAAAGUAGACUGCAUCAUUUUGUUUUGGGAAUUUUAGCUGUGCUUCAGUUCUGCCGUUAGUUGCUCCUCUAUACGUAGAGAUAUCAUGCAAAAAGUCCAGCCUAAAUGGAUGUGUAAUCAACUACAAUCGCUGAUGUAUUCUAACUGACCAUAUAAUAAAUGUAAUGUUCAGCUGCUUAUCUUUUAAGAAUUUUGAGAUUCCUCUUGAAUUUGUUCAUGAGCGACUCAAAACAAAGACAUUUCUGGUGCAUAUCAAAUCAGUGCAAACACAAUUAGCAGAUGCAAGGCAGCACUACACAGUGAUAAAGUAUUCCGAAACUAAUGACAUUGCCACUUCUGUCCAGUUAGCAGCAAAUUGUAGGGAAACUCAUGACUGCAGGAGAAGCCAAUGGUUCUUCAAAAGUUUGCCUUCGACUUGCUGGAAAGUUUGAUGAUACAGAUAAUGUGGAAGGAGAUGACUCUUAAAAUACGUACAGCUACUCCACCAAGAAAACAAGAUUAAGCUGAAUUCAUAAUAUUCAACUUUUGUACCACUCGAACUUGAUAGUUUUUGCCUUCUUGUUUUGCCAUUCUAGAUUUGACAGAUUGCUUGGAACUUUUUGAAAGGAUUAUUGCUAUAUCUACGAACUGUGUACAUUUGUGUGUUGUUAUCCCUUAGACAACUUUUGUGGCAGAGGUUGAACUAUGUUUGGUCUCAACUCUAUAUCAAUUUUAGAUCUUUGUUCAGAAAA
Molecule: RNA transcript, 1293 nt
Organism: Coffea eugenioides
Lineage: Eukaryota; Viridiplantae; Streptophyta; Magnoliopsida; Gentianales; Rubiaceae
Exons: 8
Source: RefSeq, a predicted model, not a curated record